RNAcentral lists this ribosomal RNA (109 nucleotides) under bacterium. RNAcentral also lists the same sequence under 1 other name. The record is from RNAcentral.
UCUGGUGACGAUGGCGAAGUGGACACACCUGUUCCCAUCCCGAACACAGCAGUUAAGCACUUCAGCGCCGAUGGUAGUACAAUUGUGCGAGAGUAGGACGUUGCCAGGC